CCUACGGGCGGCAGCAGUGAGGAAUAUUGGUCAAUGGGCGCAAGCCUGAACCAGCCAAGUCGCGUGAGGGAAGACGGCCCUAUGGAUUGUAAACCUCUUUUGUCGGGGAGCAAAAGACGCCACGCGUGGCGUUCCGAGAGUACCCGAAGAAAAAGCAUCGGCAAACUCCGGGCCAGCGGCCGCGGUAAUACGGAGGGUGCGAGCGUUAUCCGGAUUUAUUGGGUUUAAAGGGUGCGUAGGGGGAAGAUCAAGUCAGCGGUAAAAUUGAGGGGCUCAACCUCGUCGAGCCGUUGAAACUGGUGUUCUUGAGUGAGUGAGAAGUAUGCGGAAUGCGUGGUGUAGCGGUGAAAUGCAUAGAUAUCACGCAGAACUCCGAUUGCGAAGGCAGCAUACCGGCGCUCAACUGACGCUCAUGCACGAAAGUGUGGGUAUCGAACAGGAUUAGAUACCCGGGUAGUC
This 459-nucleotide ribosomal RNA is filed under the name uncultured bacterium. RNAcentral describes it as "partial 16S ribosomal RNA". It matches the Rfam family "Bacterial small subunit ribosomal RNA", at positions 338 to 795 of the family's 1533-position model. The record is from RNAcentral.